GUGCUCACUUUGGCAGCACUAAAAUUGGAACGAUACAGAGAUUAACAUGGCCCCUGUGCAAAGAUGACAUGCAAAUUUGUGAAGAGUUCCAUAUUUUA
This is a small nuclear RNA of Pongo abelii (Sumatran orangutan), 98 nucleotides long. The record is from Ensembl. Lineage: Eukaryota; Metazoa; Chordata; Mammalia; Primates; Hominidae.